This 481-nucleotide ribosomal RNA is filed under the name uncultured bacterium. RNAcentral's name for it is "partial 16S ribosomal RNA". It matches the Rfam family "Bacterial small subunit ribosomal RNA", at positions 28 to 507 of the family's 1533-position model. The record is from RNAcentral.
GAUGAACGCUGGCGGCGUGCUUAACACAUGCAAGUCGAACGAAGCACUUUAUUUGAUUUCCUUCGGGACUGAUUAUUUUGUGACUGAGUGGCGGACGGGUGAGUAACGCGUGGGUAACCUGCCUUGUACAGGGGGAUAACAGUUGGAAACGGCUGCUAAUACCGCAUAAGCGCACGGCCUCGCAUGAUGCAGUGUGAAAAACUCCGGUGGUAUAAGAUGGACCCGCGUUGGAUUAGCUAGUUGGUGAGGUAACGGCCCACCAAGGCGACGAUCCAUAGCCGACCAGAGAGAGUGACCGGCCACAUUGGGACUGAGACACGGCCCAAACUCCUACGGGAGGCAGCAGUGGGGAAUAUUGCAAAAUGGGCGAAAGCCUGAUGCAGCGACGCCGCGUGAGCGAAGAAGUAUGUCGGUAUGUAAAGCUCUAUCAGCAGGGAAGAUAAUGACGGUACCUGACUAAGAAGCACCGGCUAAAUACGUG